UACGUAGGGUGCAAGCGUUAAUCGGAAUUACUGGGCGUAAAGCGUGCGCAGGCGGUGAUGUAAGACAGGUGUGAAAUCCCCGGGCUUAACCUGGGAACUGCAUUUGUGACUGCAUCGCUGGAGUGCGGCAGAGGGGGAUGGAAUUCCGCGUGUAGCAGUGAAAUGCGUAGAUAUCAAGUGGAACACCAGUGGCGAAGGCGAGUCCCUGGACGACUCCUGACACUGAGGCACGAAAGCUAGGGGAGCAAACAGG
Molecule: ribosomal RNA, 253 nt
Filed under: uncultured bacterium
Lineage: Bacteria
Description: partial 16S ribosomal RNA
Rfam family: Bacterial small subunit ribosomal RNA
Source: RNAcentral